This 2832-nucleotide ribosomal RNA is filed under the name Triticum aestivum (bread wheat). RNAcentral's name for it is "partial small subunit ribosomal RNA". Lineage: Eukaryota; Viridiplantae; Streptophyta; Magnoliopsida; Poales; Poaceae. The record is from RNAcentral.
AUGGAGGUUGUGAGCGCUGCACAUGGUGCGUUUGGUCCUCUGCUGGAGAAGCUCACCACCUUGCUCGUCGACGAGUAUGCUAGGCUCAAAGGGGUCCGCCGCGAGAUCCGUUCCCUCAGAUCAGAGCUCAGCAGCAUGCACGCUGCACUCAAAGAGUACACCAAGCUAGAAGACCCAAAUGACCAAGUGAAGACAUGGAUAUCGCUGGUCAGGGAGUUGGCCUAUGACACCGAGGAUGCCUUGGACAAAUUCGUCCACCAGCUUGUCAAUGGAAGUCGAAGGCACCACGGCGGUUUCAAGAAGCUCUUCCGGAAGACCAUCUGUCAUCUCAAGACGCUUGGGUCUCGCCGUGGAAUCGCUGACCAGAUUGACGACCUCAAGGACCGCAUUAAGCAUGUGAAAGAUCUCAAGGAUAGCUACACAUUGGAUGGUGCUCCUUCCAGCACAACUCGCCAUGGAGUCGUGGAUCCCCGACUGCACGCGAUUUUUGCCGAAGAGGCACAUCUUGUCGGUAUGGAAGGUCCAAGAGACGAUCUUGCUAACUGGAUGAUGGAAGAAGGAAACAACUCGUCCAGCCAUUGCAAGGUGUUGUCUAUUGUUGGGUUUGGUGGAUUGGGAAAGACAACAUUGGCAAAUGAGGUCCGUCGGAAGAUUCAAGGACGGUUCCAUUGCCAAGCUUUUGUAUCGAUCUCGCAAAAGCCAGAUAUAAAGAAAAUUAUCAAGGAUGUUAUCUCUCAAAUGCCAUGCCUAGAUGGAUCCACACAAGAUACCAUGGAUUGGGAUGAAAAGAAGUCCAUUGCAAAGCUAAGAGAAAUGCUACAAGAUAAAAGGUAUCUCGUCAUCAUUGAUGAUGUAUGGUCUAGACAAGCAUGGAAUACUAUCAAGUGUGCUUUUCCAGAGAAUAAUUGUUCUAGCAGAAUUAUAGCUACUACCCGCAUCAUUGAUGUAGCAAAGUCAUGUUGUCAGAAUACUGAUGACCGCAUGUACAAAAUGGAAGCCCUAAAUGAUCUUCACUCUAGGACAUUGUUUUCGAAAAGAAUAUUUGGCUCUAGUAACUAUUGUCCUGAAGUGUUGCACAAAGUUUCAGAUGGAAUUCUAAAAAAAUGUGGAGGCCUACCACUAGCAAUUAUCAGUAUAUCAAGUUUGUUGGCGAAUAGGCCAGCUAUGAAGGAUGAGUGGGAGAAGGUUAAAAGAUCAAUUGGCUGCGCACUAGAAAAUAACCAGAGUCUAGAGGGAAUGAGUAGUAUACUAUCUCUUAGCUAUAAUGAUCUUCCACCUAAUCUCAAGACAUGUCUGUUGUAUUUAAGUGUAUUCCCUGAGGAUUAUGUUAUUGACAGAGAGAGGUUAGUGAGGCGAUGGAUAGCAGAAGGAUUUAUCUCGGAACAACAUGGGCAGAGCCAGCAAGAAGUUGCGGAGAACUACUUUUAUGAGCUUGUCAACAAAAGCAUGGUUCAACCAGUGGAUAUUGGAUAUGAUGGCAAGGUUCGUGCCUGCCAAGUGCACGACAUGAUGCUUGAAAUUAUCAUUUCAAAAUCCAUUGAAGAUAAUUUUGUCACUGUGGUACGCAGAGGUCAGAUAAGUUUGAAAAGUCAUCAAGGUUUUAUUCGGCGACUAUCAGUCCAACACAUUGACCAGGAGUUGCUAUCAGCAUUGGCAAAUGAAGAUCUAAGCCAUGUUCGAUCUCUGACGGUAACAUCAUCAGUUUGCAUGAAACACUUUCCUAGUCUUGUUGAAUUUGAAUCUCUACGUGUACUGGACUUUGAAGAUUGUCAAGGUUUGCAGGAGUAUGAUAUGAACAAUAUAGACAAAUUAUUCCAACUAAAGUACCUCAGCUUUAGGGGCACGUGCAUAACAAAGCCACCAUCAAGGAUUGUAAUGCUACGUAACCUACAGACCCUUGAUCUUAGGAUGACAUCCAUGCAACAAGAUCUGCCAGAUGGAAUUGUUCUGCUCACUAAACUACAGUAUCUACUCACUGAAACACAACAUAAGAUACCUAUUGGGAUCACCAAUAUGAGGAGCUUACGGGUAACCCCAAAUUUUAAUAUUACCAAGAGUCCAUUGGAUGCAGUGGAGGAGCUUGGGAACCUAACCAGAUUAAACGAGCUCUCUUUGCACUUGUCUGAUGGAUAUAGGUACAAGACGCAUGAGGAGGUGCUACUCUCCUCACUAUGCAAGCUUAGCCGUUGCAAACUCCGGUCCUUAUACAUAAGUAGGGAAUGGGGUUCACUCAACUUUAUAGAUUCUUGGUCCCCUCCAUCCUCCCUUCAGAUAUUUCAUAUGUCUAGCAACAUGCAUUUAGCAAACAUUCCAAAGUGGAUUUCUCCGGGACUCACAAGCCUUGUUAAUCUGGAUAUCAAUGUGGCUGAACUGAGGGAGGAAGGUCUGCACACUCUUGGUUUGCUCCCAUCGUUACUGGAUCUAGCAUUGUGUUUGCGUUCAGGAGGAAGCAAAAAGCUUACCGUAAUUGGAUUCCCAUGCCUCAAGAGGUUUAACCUCUUUAGUUGGGAUGGGGCAUAUGUGAUGCUCACGAAAGGGUCCAUGUGGAAUCUUGAGGAGUUUUUGUUGUCUUUUGAUGUGUCAGUGGCCAAAGCGUAUGGCUUCUAUUUAGGCAUUGAGCAUCUCCCAUCUCUCAAACUAAUACAAGUAGUUCUUCGCAACGAAGGUGCCACACAUUCGGAAUCGAAGGCUGCAGCCGCUGCCAUCAGGGAGGAAGCAGGUGCCCAUCCCAACCAUCCCGAAGUCUGUAUUUUGGAGGAACCGGAUGAAGAUGAAGAUAACAAUGAAAAGACUGAUAAUGAUGAAGGAAAGAGCAGAGAGGAGGGGAAUUAA